Molecule: ribosomal RNA, 573 nt
Filed under: Rhodotorula sp.
Lineage: Eukaryota; Fungi; Basidiomycota; Microbotryomycetes; Sporidiobolales; Sporidiobolaceae
Description: partial large subunit ribosomal RNA
Rfam family: Eukaryotic large subunit ribosomal RNA
Source: RNAcentral
UCUGGUAUUGGCCUAGUAGCGGCGAGCGAAGCGGGAAGAGCUCAAAUUUAUAAUCUGGCACCUUCGGUGUCCGAGUUGUAAUCUCUAGAAAUGUUUUCCGCGUUGGACCGCACACAAGUCUGUUGGAAUACAGCGGCAUAGUGGUGAGACCCCCGUAUAUGGUGCGGACGCCCAGCGCUUUGUGAUACAUUUUCGAAGAGUCGAGUUGUUUGGGAAUGCAGCUCAAAUUGGGUGGUAAAUUCCAUCUAAAGCUAAAUAUUGGCGAGAGACCGAUAGCGAACAAGUACCGUGAGGGAAAGAUGAAAAGCACUUUGGAAAGAGAGUUAACAGUACGUGAAAUUGUUGGAAGGGAAACGCUUGAAGUCAGACUUGCUUGCCGAGCAAUCGGUUUGCAGGCCAGCAUCAGUUUUCCGGGAUGGAUAAUGGUAGAGAGAAGGUAGCAGUUUCGGCUGUGUUAUAGCUCUCUGCUGGAUACAUCUUGGGGGACUGAGGAACGCAGUGUGCCUUUGGCGGGGGUUUCGACCUCUUCACACUUAGGAUGCUGGUGGAAUGGCUUUAAACGACCCGUCUUAA